This is a long non-coding RNA of Poecilia latipinna (sailfin molly), 336 nucleotides long. RefSeq lists it as uncharacterized. The transcript is spliced from 3 exons. NCBI's taxonomy places the organism in Eukaryota, Metazoa, Chordata, Actinopteri, Cyprinodontiformes, Poeciliidae. The record is from RefSeq and is a predicted model, not a curated record.
UUUUUUUCUCUCAGUACGAGACUGAGAUUAUUCAGGUUAAAACAAAACCUGGCCUCUCCCUUGAUCCAAAACUGAAUGGUACUGAGACGAAACUAGUAGGCAGGUAUGUUGAUGGACCCAACAUGAUAGGACUGGUCAUCUGGUCAUUCGCCAUCGGUAUCCUGUUAAACAGGGUGGGACAGGAGGCAAGAAUCACUGUGGAGGCCAUUCAAUGCCUCAAUGAUGCCAUAAAAAUCAUAGUCAACUGGAUUUUGUGGUACUUGCCAAUCGGAGUUAUGUUCCUGAUCACAGAACAUGUGUUGGGGAUUACAGACUGGCGCGCUGUCCUUAAGCUCA